RNAcentral lists this long non-coding RNA (1067 nucleotides) under Homo sapiens (human). RNAcentral's name for it is "HSALNT0362927". Lineage: Eukaryota; Metazoa; Chordata; Mammalia; Primates; Hominidae. The record is from RNAcentral.
GCCUCUUCCUCCUGGGUGCGCCAGGCCCAAGGACAGAGGAUGAUGCCCACGCAGCCAGGAAAGAGCGGCAUCAUUGUCAGCCCCUACCCCACCCUCGUCUUGGGAGCCUGCAGGCUCCGUGGUGCCACGGGAGCCCCACCGCACCUCACGUAUCCGCGCGAGUCUCUAGCACAGCCCCGCUCUUGGGCGUUAGAACCCCGCGAGGGGGGAUGAAGGACGCCACCGAGGAAGCAGACCCCACCGGGCUCCCGAGGCUGCCAGGCCCCCCGCUCAGGGCGCUGCCUGCAGAACCACGCCCCCCUGUCCCUGUGCUAAGAGGGUGACGCGAGUGCCCGAAGCCCUGGCCUGGUUACCAUUCGCGACUCCCUCGUCCUGGGUUCUCCCAUUGCCAGGAAUGUUUUACUAGUAACCAUGGUAUAGUUGAGACGAUCCACUCUUGUCCUACGCAUUUCGGCACAAUACAGGCGUCUAGGAGGCUUACCUGGCAUUGCCUGAGAGAAUCUUCCAUCCAUUUAAGUACCCAGUAACAGAGGGAGCAAAGCAAAUCUUAUCCUCAAAGAACUGCAGCUGCUUGUUAGAUCUACCUGGUGGUUCCAUAGAGAAACUGCUCAGAGAACCUGCCUUUACCUCGCCUAAAACAGAACUAUCCCGGAGCUCAGCAAAGGAGUCCAUUCAUCCUCUAUAACUGCUAUACAAUAUCUCUGUUAAAAUGCUGAGAAGAUUUAUCCUAAAAGAAGGCACCAAAGCAAUGGGGUUCAUCAACUCAGGAUCCAGUAGUGUAAUACAGAAGCCUGUUACGAGAUAUAAGGCACUUUGCCCUCGGAAAUCUCACUGUCGGAAUCCUUGGAAAUCACACCACGCACAACUUCUAUUUCUUCAUAAUUUGCAAAGAACCAGUGUGACUCCAGUCAAGAACAAAAGAUUAAUUGUGAAUUAGCGAAGAACUCUAAUUUUUUCAAGCAGCCACAUGGAAAACGCAUUCUAAUGAAAUCCUUUCCAUUGCUCUUUUUUCUUAGUUCUUCAAUAAAGCAUGCGAUUUGAUCACAAAUUGACUCUUCCCUUUUUAA